GGGGGUGUGGCGGAAUUGGCAGACGCGCUAGAUUUAGGAUCUAGUUCCUUUACCGGAGUGCAGGUUCGAUUCCUGUCACCCCCACCA
Molecule: transfer RNA, 87 nt
Filed under: Planctomycetales bacterium
Lineage: Bacteria; Pseudomonadati; Planctomycetota; Planctomycetia; Planctomycetales
Description: tRNA-Leu
Rfam family: tRNA
About the family: Transfer RNA (tRNA) molecules are approximately 80 nucleotides in length. Their secondary structure includes four short double-helical elements and three loops (D, anti-codon, and T loops).
Source: RNAcentral